Molecule: ribosomal RNA, 254 nt
Filed under: uncultured bacterium
Lineage: Bacteria
Description: partial 16S ribosomal RNA
Rfam family: Bacterial small subunit ribosomal RNA
Source: RNAcentral
UACGGGGGGGGCGAGCGUUGUUCGGAAUCACUGGGCGUAAAGGGCGCGUAGGCGGCCCGCACAAGUCUGCGGUGAAAACCCCCGGCUUAACCGGGGGCCGGCCGUGGAAACUGUCGGGCUGGAGGCUGGGAGAGGGCAGCGGAAUUCUCGGUGUAGCGGUGAAAUGCGUAGAUAUCGAGAGGAACACCUGCGGCGAAGGCGGGUUGCUGGGCUGAUACUGACGCUGAGGCGCGAAAGCCAGGGGAGCGAACGGG